GCGCGAAAACUUUACAAUGCGGGAAACCGCGAUAAGGGGACACUGAGUGCCAGCACCAUGUGUUGGCUGUCCGCAUGUAUAAAUCACAUGUGUUAGCAAGGGCCGGGCAAGACCGGUGCCAGCCGCCGCGGUAACACCGGCGGCCCGAGUGGUGGCCAUUAUUAUUGGGUCUAAAGGGUCCGUAGCCGGUUUGAUCAGUCUUCCGGGGAAAUCUGACAGCUCAACUGUUAGGCUUCGUGGGGGAUACUGUCAGACUUGGAACCGGGAGAGGUAAGAGGUACUACAGGGGUAGGAGUGAAAUCUUGUAAUCCUUGUGGGACCACCAGUGGCGAAGGCGUCUUACCAGAACGGGUUCGACGGUGAGGGACGAAAGCUGGGGCACGAACCGGAUUAGAUACCCGGGUAGUCCCAGCCGUAAACGAUGCUCGCUAGGUGUCUGGGAUGGUGCGACCGUUUCAGGUGCCGCAGGGAGCCGUGAAGCGAGCCACCGUGGGAAGUACGGCCGCAAGGCUAGAAACGUUAAAGGAACUUGGGACGGGGGAGCGACUAAC
Molecule: ribosomal RNA, 551 nt
Filed under: uncultured Methanosarcinales archaeon
Lineage: Archaea; Methanobacteriati; Methanobacteriota; Methanomicrobia; Methanosarcinales
Description: bacterial SSU rRNA
Rfam family: Archaeal small subunit ribosomal RNA
Source: RNAcentral